CCUUGAAAUACCACCCUUUAAUGUUUGAUGUUCUAACGUGGACCCGUGAUCCGGGUUGCGGACAGUGUCUGGUGGGUAGUUUGACUGGGGCGGUCUCCUCCUAAAGAGUAACGGAGGAGCACGAAGGUUGGCUAAUCCUGGUCGGACAUCAGGAGGUUAGUGCAAUGGCAUAAGCCAGCUUGACUGCGAGCGUGACGGCGCGAGCAGGUGCGAAAGCAGGUCAUAGUGAUCCGGUGGUUCUGAAUGGAAGGGCCAUCGCUCAACGGAUAAAAGGUACUCCGGGGAUAACAGGCUGAUACCGCCCAAGAGUUCAUAUCGACGGCGGUGUUUGGCACCUCGAUGUCGGCUCAUCACAUCCUGGGGCUGAAGUAGGUCCCAAGGGUAUGGCUGUUCGCCAUUUAAAGUGGUACGCGAGCUGGGUUUAGAACGUCGUGAGACAGUUCGGUCCCUAUCUGCCGUGGGCGCUGGAGAACUGAGGGGGGCUGCUCCUAGUACGAGAGGACCGGAGUGGACGCAUCACUGGUGUUCGGGUUGUCAUGCCAAUGGCACUGCCCGGUAGCUAAAUGCGGAAGAGAUAAGUGCUGAAAGCAUCUAAGCACGAAACUUGCCCCGAGAUGAGUUCUCCCUGAGACUUAGAGUCUCCUGAAGGAACGUUGAAGACGACGACGUUGAUAGGCCGGGUGUGUAAGCGCAGCGAUGCGUUGAGCUAACCGGUACUAAUGAACCGUGAGGCUUAACCUUACAACGCCGAAG
RNAcentral lists this ribosomal RNA (753 nucleotides) under Salmonella enterica subsp. enterica serovar Oranienburg. Its description in RNAcentral is "partial 23S ribosomal RNA". It matches the Rfam family "Bacterial large subunit ribosomal RNA", at positions 2190 to 2925 of the family's 2925-position model. Lineage: Bacteria; Pseudomonadati; Pseudomonadota; Gammaproteobacteria; Enterobacterales; Enterobacteriaceae. The record is from RNAcentral. RNAcentral also lists the same sequence under 3 other names.